GAUGAACGCUGGCGGCGUGCCUAAUACAUGCAAGUCGAGCGAACAGACGAGGAGCUUGCUCCUCUGACGUUAGCGGCGGACGGGUGAGUAACACGUGGAUAACCUACCUAUAAGACUGGGAUAACUUCGGGAAACCGGAGCUAAUACCGGAUAAUAUAUUGAACCGCAUGUUUCAAUAGUGAAAGACGGUUUUGCUGUCACUUAUAGAUGGAUCCGCGCCGCAUUAGCUAGUUGGUAAGGUAACGGCUUACCAAGGCAACGAUGCGUAGCCGACCUGAGAGGGUGAUCGGCCACACUAGAACUGAGACACGGUCCAGACUCCUACGGGAGGCAGCAGUAGGGAAUCUUCCGCAAUGGGCGAAAGCCUGACGGAGCAACGCCGCGUGAGUGAUGAAGGUCUUCGGAUCGUAAAACUCUGUUAUUAGGGAAAAACAAAUGUGUAAGUAACUAUGCACGUCUUGACGGUACCUAAUCAGAAAGCCACGGCUAACUACGUG
This 497-nucleotide ribosomal RNA is filed under the name uncultured bacterium. RNAcentral's name for it is "partial 16S ribosomal RNA". It matches the Rfam family "Bacterial small subunit ribosomal RNA", at positions 28 to 507 of the family's 1533-position model. The record is from RNAcentral.